RNAcentral lists this long non-coding RNA (247 nucleotides) under Lathyrus oleraceus (garden pea). RNAcentral's name for it is "Pisum sativum (pea) long non-coding RNA (PSAT_LNC022221)". Lineage: Eukaryota; Viridiplantae; Streptophyta; Magnoliopsida; Fabales; Fabaceae. The record is from RNAcentral.
AUUUUUGUCUGUUUUGAUAGUUUCAUAAAAUUCCGAAAAAUUCUCAAAAAAUUUAAUUGAUGUUAUUAGAUUAAUUUUUGUGUUUUUGUAUUUUUUUUUUCCAUUUAUUUUAAUCGUUUUUUUGUAUUUCAAUUUUUUUUUACUUAAUAGGGACAUUGUCGGUAUUUUCUUAUUUGUUGCUGCAUUGCUGAAUUAGUUGUGUUUUCUCAUUGUUUGUUAAUUUUUUUUCUUUUCUAUUGAGUUUAAU